Molecule: ribosomal RNA, 253 nt
Filed under: uncultured bacterium
Lineage: Bacteria
Description: partial 16S ribosomal RNA
Rfam family: Bacterial small subunit ribosomal RNA
Source: RNAcentral
UACGGAAUGUGCAAACGUUAUUCGGAAUCACUGGGCUUAAAGAGUCCGUAGGCGGCAUGUUAGGUGAGGUGUGAAAUCCCCCGGCUCAACCGAGGAAUUGCGCUUCAAACCGGCGUGCUAGAGGAAGAUAGAGGUGGGCGGAACUGAUGGUGGAGCGGUGAAAUGCGUUGAUAUCAUCAGGAACACCGGAGGCGAAGGCGGCCCACUGGGUCUUUUCUGACGCUGAGGGACGAAAGCGUGGGGAGCAAACAGG